AUUUUUAAGCAACACACUAAAUAUUUUUGCAAAAUUGGUAAGUAUUUGGGAAUUUCUUAGCAGUUUUACCAGCAAAUAUUUCAGAAAUGUAGGUCAACUUCAGCGAUCUUACAUACUUCUUUAACAAAAUUUUCAGUCUUUUAGCUAAUUUAACAUUUUAUAAACAGCUUUUGCAUUUUCAGCAAAUCCCUAUUUUCAGCAAAAAGUUUCAGCAUCUUUAGUGACUACUUUCAGCAAAUAGAAUUCACACUAGCCUUUUGCAGGUAAUGCAACUUAUUUAGUUAAAAAUAGUUUGUUUUAUCCUUUAGGGAGAAUCUUACCUUCUGAAUAUUUUAGGAAUCAGGCAGUCGAGUCGCUUUCUGCCAAAUUAAAGCUGAAAAUCAGAAGAAAGUGUUCAGGCUUCAAUUUUGGUUCCACCCAUGGUUUGCUAAUUUUUUGAGGAUGUCCUAAACCGUCCAGAUUAUAAUCAGUUUACCGUCAACAUGCUUAAAUAUCCUGCUCAGAUUCUUGGUGAUAGUUUUUUCUUGUAUUUAAACACGCCAUCUGCUCCUUUCUGCAGAGUUUGUUAGCGAUGGUUCCCGUGGAAACGGCUGCUGCCAAAAAGAUCCAGAUUUCAGAUUUAAAAUUAGCACUUCAAAAGGCUGAGGUUGAUCAGAGUGGAAUCUCGGAGGCUCUGGGCUCAGACGUGUCCUCCGCUCAGAUGAACGCCGUCCUGCUGGACGUUUACCAGAAGCUCAGAGAGAACCGUCUCCUCCUGAUUUAACGAGUCAGCUGCUCAGAUGUUCCAUACAUGACUGGUGAUUCAAUUCAUAGGUUAUGGCGGAAACAAUGUACAAACUAAAAUGCGACGUGUUUGAGAAGUCUGUUCUGAUCGUUUACAUCACAACAAAUAAAUGAGGUCCAAAGAUAAAGAAUUUGUAAGAAAAGUUACCAGAUAUUCAUGUAACCCACUGUUUUGUAAAGUUAAAUAUUUGAGAAGUGGAUAAAGGUGAAAACAAUUAUCCUGCAUUAUUACUUUGUUGAUUUCAAGCCUGUAUGUAAUGAAGGUGGCUGGUGUUAGAGUGGAGGAUGCUGAAGACGAGCUUAGAUGGAGGAAACUGAUUCACUGUGGCGACACCUGAAGGGAAAAGCCUAAAGGAAAAGAAGAAGAUGUAAUGUUAUUUUCCUUUUUUACCCUCCUAAUUUUAGUGUUUAUUUUAUUAUUAUUUAUUUUUUUAUUAUAUAAUUACCUUAUUAUUUUUAAAAAUUACCUUUAAUACCUUUUUAUUUAUUUAAUUUUAUUUUUUAAAUAAUGUAUUAUUUUUUUAAGCGAUAUAAUUCAUGUUUUAUUUGAUUUGAACUUUUUAUGAUCUUCAUUUAUUUUAAAAAAAUAUUUGUAACUCAGUUUUUUAAAAUUUGAUUAAAUUUUUUAGUUAUUUUUUAUGUUUUUAAUUAUUUUUUUUAAAAAAAUACUUUUUAUUUUUUAAUUUAAUUCAUUUUUUAUUU
This 1485-nucleotide long non-coding RNA is filed under the name Oryzias javanicus (javanese ricefish). RNAcentral's name for it is "lncRNA (ENSOJAG00000005433.1)". Lineage: Eukaryota; Metazoa; Chordata; Actinopteri; Beloniformes; Adrianichthyidae. The record is from RNAcentral.